AUACAGAGGGUGCGAGCGUUAAUCGGAAUUACUGGGCGUAAAGCGUGCGUAGGCGGUUGAUUUAGUCAGAUGUGAAAGCCCCGGGCUUAACCUGGGAACUGCAUUUGAAACUGGUCAACUGGAGUAUGGUAGAGGGGGGUAGAAUUUCUGGUGUAGCGGUGAAAUGCGUAGAUAUCAGAAGGAAUACCGAUGGCGAAGGCAGCCCCCUGGACCAAUACUGACGCUGAGGUACGAAAGCGUGGGGAGCAAACAGGAUUAGAUACCCCAGUAGUCC
Molecule: ribosomal RNA, 274 nt
Filed under: uncultured bacterium
Lineage: Bacteria
Description: partial 16S ribosomal RNA
Rfam family: Bacterial small subunit ribosomal RNA
Source: RNAcentral